RNAcentral lists this long non-coding RNA (212 nucleotides) under Zostera marina. Its description in RNAcentral is "long non-coding RNA (ZMAR_LNC001240)". Lineage: Eukaryota; Viridiplantae; Streptophyta; Magnoliopsida; Alismatales; Zosteraceae. The record is from RNAcentral.
UGCCUUUGGAUGUGUAUUUAAUGACCAAAAUUCCUCCACAUUUGUUAAAAUCUUAACUAUCUGAUAUUUCAAGAUAUGUGAUGAUGCAUAUGACAUAUGAAUGGUUAAGAUUACAUAUUCUCAUUAAUUCUCUUAUAAUAAUACAAAUAUUAUGCAGUUCCUAUAUGAUCUUAUUAGUUUCAUACUUGAUAUGAGUAAAUAUCACUCAAAAC